UCAGGCCUAACACAUGCAAGUCGAGCGCGCCUUCGGGUGAGCGGCGGACGGGUUAGUAACGCGUGGGAAUAUGCCCAAAGGUAGGGAAUAGCCUCUGGAAACGGAGAGUAAUACCCUAUGUGCCCUUCGGGGGAAAGAUUUAUCGCCUUUGGAUUAGCCCGCGUUAGAUUAGGUAGUUGGUGGGGUAAUGGCCUACCAAGCCUACGAUCUAUAGCUGGUUUUAGAGGAUGAUCAGCAACACUGGGACUGAGACACGGCCCAGACUCCUACGAGAGGCAGCAGUGGGGAAUCUUGGACAAUGGGGGCAACCCUGAUCCAGCCAUGCCGCGUGAGUGAUGAAGGCCCUAGGGUCGUAAAGCUCUUUCGCCAGGGAUGAUAAUGACAGUACCUGGCAAAGAAACCCCGGCUAACUCCGUGCCAGCAGCCGCGGUAAUACGGAGGGGGUUAGCGUUGUUCGGAAUUACUGGGCGUAAAGCGUACGUAGGCGGAUCGGAAAGUUGGGGGUGAAAUCCCGGGGCUCAACCCCGGAACUGCCUCCAAAACUAUCGGUCUAGAGUUCGAGAGAGGUGAGUGGAAUUCCGAGUGUAGAGGUGAAAUUCGUAGAUAUUCGGAGGAACACCAGUGGCGAAGGCGGCUCACUGGCUCGAUACGGACGCUGAGGUACGAAAGAGUGGGGAGCAAACAGGAUUAGAUACCCUGG
Molecule: ribosomal RNA, 700 nt
Filed under: uncultured bacterium
Lineage: Bacteria
Description: bacterial SSU rRNA
Rfam family: Bacterial small subunit ribosomal RNA
Source: RNAcentral